UCAUUACCUAGAGUUGUAGGCUUUGCCUACCAUCUCUUACCCAUGUCUUUUGAGUACCUUCGUUUCCUCGGCGGGUCCGCCCGCCGAUUGGACAAACUUAAACCCUUUGUAAUUGAAAUCAGCGUCUGAAAAAACAUAAUAGUUACAACUUUCAACAACGGAUCUCUUGGUUCUGGCAUCGAUGAAGAACGCAGCGAAAUGCGAUAAGUAGUGUGAAUUGCAGAAUUCAGUGAAUCAUCGAAUCUUUGAACGCACAUUGCGCCCCUUGGUAUUCCAUGGGGCAUGCCUGUUCGAGCGUCAUUUGUACCUUCAAGCUCUGCUUGGUGUUGGGUGUUUGUCUCGCCUUUGCGUGUAGACUCGCCUUAAAACAAUUGGCAGCCGGCGUAUUGAUUUCGGAGCGCAGUACAUCUCGCGCUUUGCACUCAUAACGACGACGUCCAAAAAGUACUUUUUACACUCUUGACCUCGGAUCAGGUAGGGA
This 481-nucleotide ribosomal RNA is filed under the name uncultured Phoma. RNAcentral's name for it is "eukaryotic LSU rRNA". The stretch from base 147 to 300 matches the Rfam family "5.8S ribosomal RNA". The record is from RNAcentral. Lineage: Eukaryota; Fungi; Ascomycota.